RNAcentral lists this ribosomal RNA (320 nucleotides) under uncultured Chloroflexota bacterium. RNAcentral's name for it is "bacterial SSU rRNA". It matches the Rfam family "Bacterial small subunit ribosomal RNA", at positions 28 to 351 of the family's 1533-position model. The record is from RNAcentral. Lineage: Bacteria; Bacillati; Chloroflexota.
GAUGAACGCUGGCGGCGUGCUUAAUACAUGCAAGUCGAACGGAGAGCUAGAAAUAGUUCUUAGUGGCGAACGGGUGAGUAACGCGUUGGUGACCUGCCCCGAAGAGGGGGAUAACAGUUCGAAAGGACUGCUAAUACCCCAUGAGGUCAUAGAGGUUAGAGGCUUUAUGACGGAAGGAGAAAUCCGCUUCGGGAGGGGCCUGCGUCCCAUCAGCUAGUUGGUAAGGUAACGGCCUACCAAGGCUUCGACGGGUAGGGGACCUGAGAGGGUGGCCCCCCACAAUGGAACUGAAACACGGUCCAUACACCUACGGGUGGCAG